CAAUUCGUCAGUAUCUCUGCAGAAGUAGAGCCCGGGCGUGACCUCCUGCGGCUGCUCACAGAAGAUGGUGGCGCGCAGGCGCAGAACUUCCCUGGGGCCGGCGUCCAGCACGUCAGAUUUGCUCGGUGAACCCACCCUCUGUUCCUGCGUGAGGUGACAGUGUCCACAAAACACAGAGGAGGGUGUGUUAUACAGAGCAGUUGUAGGCAGGUGCAUGUGAGACGCCGCUGUGAAAGGCUGGUGGUCAGCCCUGGACUCAGUAACCACGGGAGAUCUCCGCUCUCGGAAGGCUGCCUGGAGCCGGUUAGUGAAAGCUCCGGAAGUGAAGCAGCCAGCAGCAAGAGUGGCUCCGGGGCAAAAGAAAACUUCAGCACAGCUCGCAGGCCAGUAUUCCCGGAGCAUGUUACACACCGACACCGGCUGUGUGUUCAAUUAACCAUGGCAGGAGCUGCUAGCACCAGCUUCUCCCAGGUUCUCUUCAGAUUUAUGAUAUAAAUGCCACCACUUUCCCUUUGGUAGAUGUGCUGUUCCAUUUGGAUGUCAAGACUUGAAACUAGAACUUAUCUGAAGUUUCCAAAUCUAUGUUGAAAGGAAGAGGAUUCUGAAAGCCCCUGACUUUUUAAGGAACAUGGCAAAUAACAAGUGUGACUGUGAAGUGAACCUAUGACUGGAAACUGAAGCCAGAAUCUCUGCAUUCCUUGCAAGUACCCAUGGUUCCUUUAAUUAUAUUCCGGGCUUGUAAACAGGAAAGUGUUUCACAGAUGUAGAAAAUCCAAGAGAUUUUAAAGAUGGGAGAAUGAUGUUCAGUUUCCCUGUGUGACAAAGCUUGGAAAAUGGAAUAAAGGAACUGCCUCAUGGGAGAGAGUGAGGCUGAAGCCGUCGCACAGAAGCAGCAGAGCUGGAGGCAGAAAGGCUAUGAAUAUUAUGUUGUUAUCUGCAUUUCUGAGUUAAGUCUAAAAGCAAAUGUGACUGCAAAACAGAUGACUGAAAUGAACCCAUAGAAAAUGUAAGAAAGAAAAUUCUUCUAACUCUGAAUUCUGACCAGGAAUUACAGCAAGUAACAAGGAGCAAAGGUAUCAAGCUGGUUGGAGAAACUGGAAUAUUUAGAUGAAGCAUUCAGUACAGAGAGUUCCACUUGAUUUGCCUACCAGGAAUGAUGAAAACUAUGAAACGUCUUGGCUUAAAAGAAAGUUGAAUGUCUAAGGAAAUUAAACUGCAAGUUGCCAUAAAAUAAUCUCCUCUUUCAAAGAAGACAAUGAAUAAUAUAUUGAAUUAUUAAAAAUUAAUAUAAAGAGUCAAUUUUAAUUGGCUUCAAUUUUGAGGUUAAUAGGUAUUAACUUUCAUUUUUAUAAAAUAUGUCCACGUUAAUGACUCCAAGAUCUAUUGUUUGAGAGAUUUUCCCGAGGCACAUGAAGCUAAGGUUGAAAGCAGUUAAGGGUGCUUGAAUUCCUUUACAAGCCUAUUAUAAGCCAAUAUUCAAUCAAAACGAUUAUUGCUAGCCAUUAAAAAAUCUACCAAGUAUCAAGGGUAAUAACUCUUGCAUGUUAUUACUGGGAAUUCCUACAAAGCAAAAGGCUUUUGUAUUGCUGUUUGCAAAGACUGCUUAAUUUAUUUGAUGUCCUUGGGAAAAAAAAAAAAAAAUCUGCUCAACCAGGAAAAAAAAAAAAAAAAAGAGUAGUUUGUCCCCAUUAUCUCUGAACAAGAAGUGUCAGGAAGCUUCAGGCUAGAAUUAACAUGAGAUAGGCUAUUAGAGUUGUAAGAGCAUUUAGCAGCCUUCCCUACUGACUUCGGGGUGAUAAUAUAUACAGCCCCCUGUAAUCUGUCUCCUCUGCUGCUCUUUGCCUCUCUCCUCCUCUCCUUCUUUACUAAUAUACAUGGCUUAUUAUAAAGCACGGUAAGUAAACAGCUGCAUUUUUCUACUGAAGUGACACCAUUAGUUGGAGUUUUACCUUCGGCAAAGUCAUAUAAAGAAUCACUGCUUAAAUGUAACCAUUUUUAAAAAGCCAAACACAACAUUCAAGCAUAGAAAUUUUCCAUGACCCAUGCUCUAGAAAGUCAACUGUAUCUAGUAUUUGCACUAGAAAAGUUUUCACAUGUUGCUAAUUUUCACAAAUGAGGAAUGCGAAUUUAGUCAAGUUGAAGAAAAUAAUUGCUUAGAACUAGUAUCGAAUAAUUCAUGAAAUAAAAUGCAGUAGUGUUAACAAGAGUUGAAGAAUGUAUCUGGAUGAUUCAGAGUACCAGUAAUUAUUAAUGUAAAUAAUAAUGUCCGCCUGGAACUGAGUAUGGUCCAAAGCACAUUUAAACCAAGGCAGCCUUUUCUUUUCUUGAAACAUGUAAGACAGAAUGUACCAGAAGUGAUAUUCGAACAUUUUUAGUACGUAUAUUUCUCCUAGCAUUUCUAGCUUAAUUUCCCUUAAAUUGAUAUUAAUAAUUUGGAAAUUAACAAUGCAGAGCAAAACAAAAAUGACACAAGCAUGUAACUCAAAAUUUAUUAAAGCUUAGGCAGCAAAAUAUCUAACGAAUAACAAGAAUCUAUGGACAUUUCUUUUAAUUCAGUUGUUUUCAACCUUGGCAUUAUUGACAGAGGGGUACAAUGCUUCGUUGUAACAAACUGUUCAAUGAUCACAAUCCCUCUUAAGUGGAAGACCUAGUCGAAAUCCGGCAAUGUUUUAUUACAACAUUAACAUGGGAAAAGAAGCUAUCAUCAAAUUCUCACUCGCAAAAUUCAAUUUGUUUUAAGAAGAUAAUACACAUACUAGCUGAAAUAAGACACAGCUGGGCUUCACCUAUAUUUCCUAUAUACUUCCUGGGAAAAUGAAAUAUUGUUACAAAUAGAUGAGAAGUUUGGGAUCCAAAUACCAAAUACUAAAAUUGAUAAAUACCACUGUCUUCGUCUGCUUGGGCUGCUGUAGCAAAAUACCAUAGACAUGGUGGCUUAAACAACCGAAAUGUAUUUCUCAUCGUUAUAGAGGCUGUAAGUCUGAGCGCAGCCUUACAGUUCUGAUGAAAGCUCUUUCCCCAGCUUGUGGAUGGCUGCUUUCUUGGUGUGUACUUACAUGACUUCUUUGUGUGUUCAAGGUGAAAGAGAAAGCGAGUUUGCUGGUGUCUCUUCCUGUCAGGGCACUAAUCCCAUGUGAGAAAUGAAUCCUUCAGAUCUCAUCUAAACCUUACUACCUCCUGAAGGCCCCAUCUCUAAAUGCCGUCACCCUGGAGGGUAGAACUUCAGUAUAUGAAUUUUAGGAGAACAUAAACAUUCAGUCCAUAACAACAAUUAAAUUCCUAGCUUAGAAAUGACAUGUUUGUUGAGAUAAGAAGUAAAAAGUAUCUGUUUCUCUUUUCCUGGAAAGUCAGAGAAAUGAUUACUGUCAGUUACUUUUUAGUAUAUUUGUACACACAUGCACUAUGUUCAAAUUAGAUGCACAUUAUCAAUACUAGCUGACACUUUUAUUGGUAUAGUUAAAUCUGAAUUAUUCUGGGUCUUGAACCUGUCAUCAGUUUGUGUUUUAUUCAUGUGUACAUAAAAUAAAGAGAUAAAAAGAAAAGGUACAAAUUCAUUUACCCAAAAAUCACAUGGCAUCACAAAAACUAUGUAAAACAGCUUCUUACUAUUUAUUAUAAAACUAAUCUAUGACGUGAAAUGACUGGAUGUGGUUACUUUGGGACAAGGGGAAGGGAUAGUGACUCUAAGGGGGUGUAGAAGGGUAGGUCUGAGAAGUCCCCCUGAGUGAGGAGUGACUGAGAGUGAUUCUAGGGGGAUUAUUUAUUUAUUUAUUUAUUUAUUUAUUUAUUUAUAAUUUUCUUAAAUGUUUAUUUAUUUUUGAAAGAGAGAGACAGAGUAUGGGGAGGGGCAAAGAGACA
Felis catus (domestic cat) is the source of this 3858-nucleotide long non-coding RNA. RefSeq lists it as uncharacterized. The record is from RefSeq and is a predicted model, not a curated record. NCBI's taxonomy places the organism in Eukaryota, Metazoa, Chordata, Mammalia, Carnivora, Felidae. The transcript is spliced from 6 exons.